GGGUCGUUAGCCCAAGCAGAGCAGUUGACUUUAAUCAGCCUGGUCGCAGGUUCGAAAUCCUGCACGACCCACCA
This 74-nucleotide transfer RNA is filed under the name Salmonella enterica subsp. enterica. RNAcentral describes it as "tRNA-OTHER". It matches the Rfam family "tRNA". Rfam says of the family: Transfer RNA (tRNA) molecules are approximately 80 nucleotides in length. Their secondary structure includes four short double-helical elements and three loops (D, anti-codon, and T loops). Lineage: Bacteria; Pseudomonadati; Pseudomonadota; Gammaproteobacteria; Enterobacterales; Enterobacteriaceae. The record is from RNAcentral.